CGAAAAUCGGGUCUGACGAGAUUCGUGCAAAAAUUGGGAAAAAUCAAGAGAUGGAGAUAAAGAUGGAUCUGCGAAGAUCUCCUAUGCUGAAAACUUUGUUGAAGAUUCGAGGGCGAAUCUUUCUUGGCCUGCGAGAGCUGAUGCAGCGCAGAUACAAGAUUCGAGGACGAAUCUUUUCUUGGCCGGCGAGACCUGAUGCAGCGUA
This 205-nucleotide long non-coding RNA is filed under the name Arabidopsis lyrata. RNAcentral's name for it is "long non-coding RNA (ALYR_LNC002458)". The record is from RNAcentral. Lineage: Eukaryota; Viridiplantae; Streptophyta; Magnoliopsida; Brassicales; Brassicaceae.